RNAcentral lists this ribosomal RNA (617 nucleotides) under Xylodon raduloides. RNAcentral's name for it is "partial large subunit ribosomal RNA". It matches the Rfam family "Eukaryotic large subunit ribosomal RNA", at positions 21 to 619 of the family's 3401-position model. The record is from RNAcentral. Lineage: Eukaryota; Fungi; Basidiomycota; Agaricomycetes; Hymenochaetales; Schizoporaceae.
UUUACCCGCUGAACUUAAGCAUAUCAAUAAGCGGAGGAAAAGAAACUAACAAGGAUUCCCCUAGUAACUGCGAGUGAAGCGGGAAAAGCUCAAAUUUAAAAUCUGACAGUUUCACUGUCCGAGUUGUAAUCUGGAGAAGCAUUUUCCGCGUCGGACCGUGUACAAGUUUCUUGGAAUAGAACGUCAUAGAGGGUGAGAAUCCCGUCCAUGACACGGACUACCGAUGCUUUGUGAUAUGCUCUCGAAGAGUCGAGUUGUUUGGGAAUGCAGCUCAAAAUGGGUGGUAAAUUCCAUCUAAAGCUAAAUAUUGGCGAGAGACCGAUAGCGAACAAGUACCGUGAGGAGGGAAAGAUGAAAAGCACUUUGGAAAGAGAGUUAAACAGUACGUGAAAUUGUUGAAAGGGAAACGCUUGAAGUCAGUCGCGUUGGCAGAGACUCAGCCUUGCUUUGCAUGGUGUACUUCUCAGUUAACGGGUCAACAUCAAUUUCAGUUGGUGGAUAAAGGCAUUGGGAAUGUGGCACCUUCGGGUGUGUUAUAGACCUUUGUUGCAUACACUGACCGGGAUUGAGGAACGCAGCACGCCACUACGGCCAGGGAUUCGUCCCAUGUAACGUGC